Molecule: long non-coding RNA, 1247 nt
Filed under: Anas platyrhynchos platyrhynchos (common mallard)
Lineage: Eukaryota; Metazoa; Chordata; Aves; Anseriformes; Anatidae
Description: lncRNA (ENSAPLG00000017752.1)
Source: RNAcentral
UAAUUUAUACAAGCAACUAGCUUCUGGAAAACUUGACCUCUGUCCAGCAGAGGACAGAAACAUAUCCAAAGAGACCACCGAAGCAGUGACUGGUACCCAGUGGGACAGAGAUGGAGGGACUAAUUAUAUUUUUGCAGCUGUUAAACCAAUGCUGGUGACAAAUGACUUUGUGGUGGACGGCACAGUAGUUAAUACUGGAGAAAAACUAGCGUGCACUGUGGUUUGUCUGCUUAAGUGCUAUUAACAUUAUAAGCAGGCGUGCUAAGGUGUUUUUUUUCUUCAGGGGUCACUGCUAGUAUGCAGUUUCCCACUGUCCCUGUGCAGUUGGAGCCACAGUUCCCAUCAUGGUGUUGACAGACGAUAGUCCUGUGACUCAUUCCAUGGUAGAGAGAGAUGCUGGGCUCUCUUCUUUCAUGAAACACAUCCUCGUUGUGCGAGUAGAUCCCUUCUGUGCUCUGCAUUAGGUGGCUUUUUGUCCUAGACCCUGAAAGACACAGCAGCCUGGUUUCUCUCUUAUCUGCCUCUAUUAAUGGUUUAUUUCUCUCUCUGACUGCAAACCACUAGUAACAGGUGAAAAUUUUCUCUCUGACUUUACAGGAACAAGCCCACACCACUGUCAUGUGGGGGUUGCUGCCCAUCCAUCAGCUGACUGCGAAGAAUAUCUGUAUUCCAGAAUUACUGUAAGCCUCAUCAUUUCUUAUGUCUGUGGCAAGAGAUGUUAUCUUUUGCCUGUAACCUCGUUUUUAUCAGCAAAAUUAAUUGUAAUUUAUUCAGUGUCAAUUUGUUUAGAUUGUGGUUUCUUUUCCUACAGGUUCUACAACCCAUCGUGCAUGUGAAUCAGAUAUUGCCUGCAAACUCAGAUAGCAUGUAAAAUAUGUAUGAACAAGAUGCGUAUGACAGCAGUGGCAGUAUCCGGCGAUUCAUGUCUUCGGGGAAGUGGAUAACAGGAGGAAAAAUGUAUAUCGGGGUUGAUGGAAAUUGUCAUGGUUCCACUGACGUCAAAGAGCCAGCUAUCAGUGGCAGGGUAAAUUUACAUGAGCUGAGGAUCUGUGCCAUCCCGUGUUUUAUUAACUGACAAUCCUGACUGAAAACUAAUGAGAGCGACACUUAGAAGAUUUGAUUCAUACAGAUUUGAAAUGUGAGCUGCAGAAUUUAAAUCUUGGUUUGGGAGACUUCAGAAUGCGGGAUUGAUGAACUUGGUCUAGCUGACAGUAAAUAAAGGGCCAUUUCUAAGAUGUAUGUGUUCA